GACGAACGCUGGCGGCGUGGAUUAGGCAUGCAAGUCGAACGGUAUCAUCCUUUCGGGGGUGAGAGAGUGGCGAACUGGUGAGUAACACGUAGGUUAUCUACCCUCAAGACGGGGACAACCCAGGGAAACUUGGGCUAAUACCGGAUGUGAGCAACUUUUAGUUGUUUGAAAGGUGGCGUAAGCUGUCGCUUGGGGAUGAGCCUGCGUCCUAUUAGUUAGUUGGUGAGGUAACGGCUCACCUAGGCAAUGAUAGGUAGGCGGCCUUAACGGGUGGUCGCCCACACUGGGAUUGAGAUACGGCCCAGACUCCUACGGGAGGCAGCAGUCGAGAAUAGUCUACAAUGGUCGGAAGACUGAUAGUGCGACGCCGCGUGAACGAUGAAUCCCUUCGGGGUGUAAAGCUCUGUCUGGGAGGGACGAACAAAAUGACGGUACCUCCGGAGGAAGCCACGGCUAACUACGUG
This 464-nucleotide ribosomal RNA is filed under the name uncultured bacterium. RNAcentral's name for it is "bacterial SSU rRNA". It matches the Rfam family "Bacterial small subunit ribosomal RNA", at positions 28 to 507 of the family's 1533-position model. The record is from RNAcentral.